AUUAAAUCAUUUUAUAGCAUUCUAUAUUAACAAUAAAAAUCAUACAAUAUGAAACUGUACGAUAUGAUACAUUAUACGAUACAUUAAUAAAUUAUGCUCCAUUCAUUCCAAAUUCAGUGUUAAUAUGCAAACAAGUUCACUUCCUUUUUCAUUUGAGUUGGUAGUUGCCACCAAGUUGGUGAAGAAUGGGAAAGAAAGAAGUACAAAGUGUAAAGCUUCAGUAAAUAUCAUCCUAAGUGUAACAUGACAAUCUCAAUUUUUAUGGCUUUGACUAGACCUCAUCGUUUUCCUUGUAAGGCAAGCAACAUGAACAUCUUACCGCGGUGGAAUGCCAUCAUCUAAUGAUUCUUCCGCGGACGAAAGCAUUCUUCUUCAAGUCCAGGUACUUUGGGGUUUGAACUUUGAAGCUUAUUCUCUUUUGCAAUAUUUGGGCACACCUCUUUCUUAAUGGAGGUUGGCCUCUGUUCAUCAAUAAGAUCAACAGAUAAAAUCCCAACUGUCCUUAACCUUUAACUUUGUUAGGAGAGAUGCUAACUAUGCUCAAUUUACUGUCUAUUUUGUAUAUAUUUUUAAAAUUUGGUAUAUGUUUUUAA
RNAcentral lists this unclassified non-coding RNA (593 nucleotides) under Hevea brasiliensis (rubber tree). The record is from RNAcentral. Lineage: Eukaryota; Viridiplantae; Streptophyta; Magnoliopsida; Malpighiales; Euphorbiaceae.